This 138-nucleotide transfer RNA is filed under the name Fulvia fulva CBS 131901. RNAcentral's name for it is "tRNA-Und (NNN) (tRNA-Und-NNN-6-1)". Lineage: Eukaryota; Fungi; Ascomycota; Dothideomycetes; Mycosphaerellales; Mycosphaerellaceae. The record is from RNAcentral.
GAUCCUAUGGCGCAGCGGUAGCGUAUGAUAGUGCCUAGCACCCCAUCAGUUGGUAACCGACUAACGGUUCAGCAGGCGUCUGAUUCCAGUUCUCUUGGAGAUUCCAGAAGGUCAUCCGUUCAAAUCGGGUUAGGAUCA